Transfer RNA from Shewanella sp. P1-14-1, 74 nucleotides. It matches the Rfam family "tRNA". From Rfam's summary of the family: Transfer RNA (tRNA) molecules are approximately 80 nucleotides in length. The record is from Rfam. NCBI's taxonomy places the organism in Bacteria, Pseudomonadati, Pseudomonadota, Gammaproteobacteria, Alteromonadales, Shewanellaceae.
ACAACUGUAGCUCAGCUGGUUAGAGCACCACCUUGACAUGGUGGGGGUCGGUGGUUCGAAUCCACUCAGUUGUA